CCUACGGGGGGCAGCAGUGGGGAAUAUUGCACAAUGGGGGAAACCCUGAUGCAGCGACGCCGCGUGUGUGAAGAAGUAAUUCGUUAUGUAAAGCUCUAUCAGCAGGGAAGAAAAUGACGGUACCUGAGUCAGAAGCCCCGGCUAACUACGUGCCAGCAGCCGCGGUAAUACGUAGGGGGCAAGCGUUAUCCGGAUUUACUGGGUGUAAAGGGAGCGUAGACGGCAGUGCAAGUCUGGAGUGAAAGGCGGGGGCUCAACCCCGGGACUGCUCUUGAAACUGGACGGCUGGAGUGCAGGAGAGGGAAGUGGAAUUCCUAGUGUAGCGGUGAAAUGCGUAGAGAUUAGGAGGAACACCAGUGGCGAAGGCGGCUUACUGGACUGUAACUGACGUUGAGGCGCGAAAGCGUGGGGAGCAAACAGGAUUAGAUACCCCGGUAGUC
This 440-nucleotide ribosomal RNA is filed under the name uncultured bacterium. RNAcentral describes it as "partial 16S ribosomal RNA". It matches the Rfam family "Bacterial small subunit ribosomal RNA", at positions 338 to 795 of the family's 1533-position model. The record is from RNAcentral.